Molecule: unclassified non-coding RNA, 203 nt
Filed under: Hevea brasiliensis (rubber tree)
Lineage: Eukaryota; Viridiplantae; Streptophyta; Magnoliopsida; Malpighiales; Euphorbiaceae
Source: RNAcentral
GGAUGCCUCCAGCUGCAGAACCACUAGAAAAUGAUACUUUAUAAGGUUCAAACUCCUGUCUGCCAACCUGUGCAGGCAAAACUCCAUUGCAUGGACUAGUCAAUGGCAGUGGAGUUCCUCUUCUAGAAACAGAAUGAGAUUUCGCUCCAGAGGUUAUUUCACCCGAAGGUGAUUUCACUGAAGAAGAGGAUGCACCAGGGUCA